RNAcentral lists this transfer RNA (74 nucleotides) under Limimonas halophila. Its description in RNAcentral is "Rhodospirillaceae bacterium Ia16 tRNA". It matches the Rfam family "tRNA". From Rfam's summary of the family: Transfer RNA (tRNA) molecules are approximately 80 nucleotides in length. The record is from Rfam by way of RNAcentral. Lineage: Bacteria; Pseudomonadati; Pseudomonadota; Alphaproteobacteria; Rhodospirillales; Rhodovibrionaceae.
GGCGGGGUAGCUCAGUUGGUCAGAGCGAAGGAAUCAUAAUCCUUGAGUCGAGGGUUCGAGUCCCUCCCCCGCUA